Molecule: ribosomal RNA, 120 nt
Filed under: uncultured bacterium
Lineage: Bacteria
Description: partial 16S ribosomal RNA
Rfam family: Bacterial small subunit ribosomal RNA
Source: RNAcentral
AAUCAACGCUGGCGGCGCGCUUAACACAUGCAAGUCGAACGAGAAAGCCCGCAAGGGUGAGUAAAGUGGCGUACGGGUGAGUAACACGUGGGUAAUCUACCUCUGGGUGGGGAAUAACCC